This is a long non-coding RNA of Helianthus annuus (common sunflower), 512 nucleotides long. RefSeq lists it as uncharacterized. The record is from RefSeq and is a predicted model, not a curated record. The transcript is spliced from 3 exons. NCBI's taxonomy places the organism in Eukaryota, Viridiplantae, Streptophyta, Magnoliopsida, Asterales, Asteraceae.
UAAAAGUAACUUUCUUGAGCCCGGGAAGCAAGGUUCUUAUCUUGCUGAUUGUUUCAACCGCAUGGAAGAAUGCACCAAAAAUCCCGAAGGUCCUAUUCGUUUCAGAGAGUCUGGCAGGCAUAGAUUCCAUCCCUUCAGGUACAAGCAUCUUGGUCAAUUUGCUCUGUUAGGAGGAGAGCAAACAGCAGCCCAACUCCCCAGUGAUUGGUUAUCUAUUGGUCAUAGCUCUUAGUGGCUUUGGUACUCUGUGUAUGCAAGCAAGCAAGUCAGUUGGCGUACAAGGUCGUUGGUGGUCAGACUGGAUGAGGCGUUUCAUCUUUGGGAGGGAUUCGAGUCAAAUAUGAGUUGACUUCAACAUAUGCGAUAUAUGCAUAAUGAUAAGUCCCUCAUAAAGGCAAGUUUUGGUGCAUGAUCCAUACAUUUUACCCGAUUCAUUUUUGUUUUGUAAACAUAUGCUGCUCUCUGUUCUUUGUUAUGUUUUUUGUUAAUAAGAAGCAAUGUCAUAAAUCGUA